RNAcentral lists this ribosomal RNA (269 nucleotides) under uncultured bacterium. RNAcentral's name for it is "partial 16S ribosomal RNA". It matches the Rfam family "Bacterial small subunit ribosomal RNA", at positions 85 to 353 of the family's 1533-position model. The record is from RNAcentral.
CUGAUGGCGACCGGCGCACGGGUGAGUAACACGUAUCCAACCUGCCGAUGACUCGGGGAUAGCCUUUCGAAAGAAAGAUUAAUACCCGAUGGCAUAGUUCUUCCGCAUGGUAGAACUAUUAAAGGAUUUCGGUCAUCGAUGGGGAUGCGUUCCAUUAGGUUGUUGGCGGGGUAACGGCCCACCAAGCCUUCGAUGGAUGGGGGUUCUGAGAGGAAGGUCCCCCACAUUGGAACUGAGACACGGUCCAAACUCCUACGGGAGGCAGCAUG